GACGAACGCUGGCGGCGUGCUUAACACAUGCAAGUCGAACGAUGAAGCUGGAGCUUGCUCCGGUGGAUUAGUGGCGAACGGGUGAGUAACACGUGAGCAAUCUGCCCUUGACUCUGGGAUAACUGCGGGAAACUGUAGCUAAUACCGGGUACGAGGCUCGAAGGCAUCUUCGGGUCUGGAAAGAAUUUCGGUCAAGGAUGAGCUCGCGGCCUAUCAGCUUGUUGGUGAGGUAAUGGCUCACCAAGGCGACGACGGGUAGCCGGCCUGAGAGGGUGACCGGCCACACUGGGACUGAGACACGGCCCAGACUCCUACGGGAGGCAGCAGUGGGGAAUAUUGCACAAUGGGCGAAAGCCUGAUGCAGCAACGCCGCGUAAGGGAUGAAGGCCUUCGGGUUGUGAACCUCUUUUAGCAGGGAAGAAGCGAAAGUGACGGUACCUGCAGAAAAAGCACCGGCUAACUACGUGCCAGCCGCCGCCGUAA
RNAcentral lists this ribosomal RNA (483 nucleotides) under uncultured bacterium. RNAcentral describes it as "partial 16S ribosomal RNA". It matches the Rfam family "Bacterial small subunit ribosomal RNA", at positions 28 to 523 of the family's 1533-position model. The record is from RNAcentral.